Molecule: transfer RNA, 73 nt
Filed under: Bacteroidota bacterium
Lineage: Bacteria; Pseudomonadati; Bacteroidota
Description: Bacteroidetes bacterium (activated sludge metagenome) tRNA-Met
Rfam family: tRNA
About the family: Transfer RNA (tRNA) molecules are approximately 80 nucleotides in length. Their secondary structure includes four short double-helical elements and three loops (D, anti-codon, and T loops).
Source: RNAcentral
GCUGGAAUAGUUCAGUUGGUAGAAUAAUGAAUUCAUAACUCAUAGGUCGUGGGUUCGAGUCCCACUUCCAGCU